Non-coding RNA from Heterocephalus glaber (naked mole-rat), 853 nucleotides. The record is from RefSeq and is a predicted model, not a curated record. Lineage: Eukaryota; Metazoa; Chordata; Mammalia; Rodentia; Bathyergidae.
GGAAGGCUUGGUCACAGUGGGUUUCCUUACAGAAACUGUUUGCUCUCUAGGGCAGCAAGGUUCAACAUCAGUUUAGGCGAGACCUGCUGCAAAUGCUUUCAUGAAACAUUCGUGACAUUUCUGAAAAGAUUAUCCAGAAAUCUCACUCUUCUUAAAAACUCUAUAUUUUGCUUAAUAUUCAUCCUGUUCACACACAUAAUUUUUUUUCAGAUAGUCUCAAGAUAAUAGUUUAGCCUUGAAGUCACUAUGAAGCCCAAGAUGACCUUGAAUUGGUGGUGGUCCUCCUGCUUCAGCCUCCUGAGUGCUGGAAUUACAGGAAAAUAACCUGAAGACGACAUCUUUAAAGUGGCACAUCAGGAAACGAAGCUGCCUCUAAUCUUUAGAAAAUAGCUCGGUGACCAGCAACCUGCUCUAGCCCAAAGCCCAGUGUUCUAAUUCCAGCUCCCUGAUCUUUCUACAGAAAGGACAAAAUGAAACAAGAUGGAAACUACUGCUCAGCAGGUCCCUGUAUUUCCUACCUUUCCAGCCACAAAGGAGCUGAAUUUCUCAUAGGUACAGUUCUGAAACUGCCACCAUCCACCACCAGCAACUUAUUUCUCCCUCCGUGACUGAAACCAAGGUCUCAGAUAAGCCUGUGGGCCUGGUCAAGCCUACAAAAGCACAGGCCCGUGUUCCCACUCACCUCCACCUUGUACUUCUUGCGGGCCUUGUUAACAUUGAUGGCGAGGUGCAGUACCAUGACAAAGCUGGCAGCACCCGUCAGGAUCACGAAACCAUAUUCCUUCGAGAGGACGGCCAUGUUGCCUCUGUGAAGAAAGCGUGCCGUUUUGGGACACUGUCCCCCGCAGUACCC